Molecule: signal recognition particle RNA, 331 nt
Filed under: Callithrix jacchus (white-tufted-ear marmoset)
Lineage: Eukaryota; Metazoa; Chordata; Mammalia; Primates; Cebidae
Description: Metazoan signal recognition particle RNA (ENSCJAG00000084085.1)
Rfam family: Metazoan signal recognition particle RNA
About the family: The signal recognition particle (SRP) is a universally conserved ribonucleoprotein.
Source: RNAcentral
GCUGGGCAUGGUGGCGCGUGCCUGUAAUCCCAGAUACUCAGGAGGCUGAGGCAGGAGAAUUGACUGAACCCAGGAGGCGGAGGUUGCAGUGAGCUGAGAUUGCACCAUUGCACUGCAGCCUGGGUAAAAACAGCGAAACUACGUCUCAAAAAAAAAAAAAAAAAAAAAAAACAAAACACAAAGAAAACAUUGUCCCACUCCUAAGGAAAUCUUUUUUUUUUUUUUUUUUGAGACGGAGUUUAGCUCUCCUUACCCAGGUUGGAGUGCAAUGGCGCGAUCUCGGCUCACCGCAACCUCCGCCUCCUGGGUUCAGACAAUUCUCCUGCCUCAG